Molecule: ribosomal RNA, 433 nt
Filed under: uncultured bacterium
Lineage: Bacteria
Description: partial 16S ribosomal RNA
Rfam family: Bacterial small subunit ribosomal RNA
Source: RNAcentral
AACGAACGCUGGCGGCAUGCCUAACACAUGCAAGUCGAACGAGACCUUCGGGUCUAGUGGCGCACGGGUGCGUAACGCGUGGGAACCUGCCCUUAGGUUCGGAAUAACUCCCCGAAAGGGGUGCUAAUACCGGAUAAUGUCUUCGGACCAAAGAUUUAUCGCCUUUGGAUGGGCCCGCGUUGGAUUAGCUAGUUGGUAGGGUAAAAGCCUACCAAGGCGACGAUCCAUAGCUGGUCUGAGAGGAUGAUCAGCCACACUGGGACUGAGACACGGCCCAGACUCCUACGGGAGGCGGCAGUGGGGAAUAUUGGACAAUGGGCGGAAGCCUGAUCCAGCAAUGCCGCGUGAGUGAUGAAGGCCUUAGGGUUGUAAAGCUCUUUUACCCGGGAUGAUAAUGACAGUACCGGGAGAAUAAGCUCCGGCUAACUCCGUG